This 89-nucleotide transfer RNA is filed under the name Angustibacter aerolatus. RNAcentral describes it as "tRNA-Leu". It matches the Rfam family "tRNA". From Rfam's summary of the family: Transfer RNA (tRNA) molecules are approximately 80 nucleotides in length. Their secondary structure includes four short double-helical elements and three loops (D, anti-codon, and T loops). Lineage: Bacteria; Bacillati; Actinomycetota; Actinomycetes; Kineosporiales; Kineosporiaceae. The record is from RNAcentral.
GCGCGCGAGUGGCGGAACGGCAGACGCGCUGGCUUCAGGUGCCAGUGUCCGAAAGGGCGUGGGGGUUCAAAUCCCCCUCGCGCACCCCA